Molecule: transfer RNA, 75 nt
Filed under: Verrucomicrobia bacterium ADurb.Bin345
Lineage: Bacteria; Pseudomonadati; Verrucomicrobiota
Also listed under: 3 other names
Description: tRNA-Asn
Rfam family: tRNA
About the family: Transfer RNA (tRNA) molecules are approximately 80 nucleotides in length. Their secondary structure includes four short double-helical elements and three loops (D, anti-codon, and T loops). Further hydrogen bonds mediate the characteristic L-shaped molecular structure. tRNAs have two regions of fundamental functional importance: the anti-codon, which is responsible for specific mRNA codon recognition, and the 3' end, to which the tRNAs corresponding amino acid is attached (by aminoacyl-tRNA synthetases). tRNAs cope with the degeneracy of the genetic code in two manners: having more than one tRNA (with a specific anti-codon) for a particular amino acid; and 'wobble' base-pairing, i.e. permitting non-standard base-pairing at the 3rd anti-codon position.
Source: RNAcentral
UCCGGCGUAGCUCAAUGGUAGAGCGGGUGACUGUUAAUCACUAGGUUACAGGUUCGAGCCCUGUCGCCGGAGCCA